Non-coding RNA from Podarcis lilfordi (Lilford's wall lizard), 76 nucleotides. Lineage: Eukaryota; Metazoa; Chordata; Lepidosauria; Squamata; Lacertidae. The record is from the annotation of a GenBank genome assembly.
UGCCUGGGAUAGCUCAGCUGGUAGAGUGAUGAGACUUUUAAUGUCAGGGUCAUGGGUUCGACCCACAUUUAAACAA